RNAcentral lists this ribosomal RNA (444 nucleotides) under uncultured Shewanellaceae bacterium. Its description in RNAcentral is "bacterial SSU rRNA". It matches the Rfam family "Bacterial small subunit ribosomal RNA", at positions 1088 to 1532 of the family's 1533-position model. The record is from RNAcentral. Lineage: Bacteria; Pseudomonadati; Pseudomonadota; Gammaproteobacteria; Alteromonadales; Shewanellaceae.
CGCACGAGCGCACCCCCUAUCCUUAUUUGCCAGCACGUAAUGGUGGGAACUCUAGGGAGACUGCCGGUGAUAAACCGGAGGAAGGUGGGGACGACGUCAAGUCAUCAUGGCCCUUACGAGUAGGGCUACACACGUGCUACAAUGGCGUAUACAGAGGGUUGCAAAGCCGCGAGGUGGAGCUAAUCUCACAAAGUACGUCGUAGUCCGGAUCGGAGUCUGCAACUCGACUCCGUGAAGUCGGAAUCGCUAGUAAUCGUGGAUCAGAAUGCCACGGUGAAUACGUUCCCGGGCCUUGUACACACCGCCCGUCACACCAUGGGAGUGGGCUGCAAAAGAAGUGGGUAGUUUAACCUUCGGGAGAACGCUCACCACUUUGUGGUUCAUGACUGGGGUGAAGUCGUAACAAGGUAGCCCUAGGGGAACCUGGGGCUGGAUCACCUCCUU